GACGAACGCUGGCGGCGUGCUUAACACAUGCAAGUCGAACGGAAAGGCCCUGCUUUUGUGGGGUGCUCGAGUGGCGAACGGGUGAGUAACACGUGAGUAACCUGCCCUUGACUUUGGGAUAACUUCAGGAAACUGGGGCUAAUACCGGAUAGGAGCUCCUGCUGCAUGGUGGGGGUUGGAAAGUUUCGGCGGUUGGGGAUGGACUCGCGGCUUAUCAGCUUGUUGGUGGGGUAGUGGCUUACCAAGGCUUUGACGGGUAGCCGGCCUGAGAGGGUGACCGGCCACAUGGGAACUGGGAUACGCCCCGGACUCCAACGGGGGGCAGCGGGGGGAAAUAUGCACAAUGGGCGGAAGCCUGAUGCAGCAACGCCGCGUGCGGGAUGACGGCCUUCGGGUUGUAAACCGCUUUCGCCUGUGACGAAGCGUGAGUGACGGUAAUGGGUAAAGAAGCACCGGCUAACUACGUG
This 467-nucleotide ribosomal RNA is filed under the name uncultured bacterium. Its description in RNAcentral is "partial 16S ribosomal RNA". It matches the Rfam family "Bacterial small subunit ribosomal RNA", at positions 28 to 507 of the family's 1533-position model. The record is from RNAcentral.